UCCGCAGCGUGCGAGCCUGCGAUGGAUGUGGUGGGAAGACAGCACAAGCUUAACCAUUGUUGAGCAGUAACAGGAAGUGAAUUUCGGAGAGACUCCAACCCUGCUGCAAAACCUGCAAACCAGAAUGGGAAGUGUUAGCCCAGAAAAGGCCCAUCUGCCAGUAAGAUUGGGUAGGCCCGCGGAGAAAGGAAACCGAGUUCAGACUUCAGAGUCACCCCGGCGGCCUCCUCCACCCGCACGGCCGCACAGGCACAGCCACUGACCGUCUGGCCGUGUGACGGAGCGGCGACCCCUCCCGUUCCGCAUGGAGUCACGCGCGUUCCUGGCUCGGCGACCACCGGAAGCCGGCAACCGCGACCGGUCCCGGCUGCUGUUGAUCAUUGUGAGCCCCUUUUCUGGGACGGUUUCUGCAGAACUGGGACAAGAAAAAGGAGGCGACAGCAACGGGCGAAGAUUCGCGUUUUUGCAGUGGGCGCUUGUGUGUUGUGUUCUGGACUGGAGGAAGUGGCUGGUGCAUCGAAGACGAAGAUAUCAUUAACGUCGUGGUCAAUGCGCGCGUAGUCUGUGGCUGAUUGAGGGGAGCAACUGGAUGGAGGAGGAGGUGAGGAAGAGGAUAAUGGCGCUGGCGCGGCCGGGGUGGGUGGGUGUGGGUGAGUGGGCACGGCUGUGCCCCCCGUUUACUUUUGGUGCGUUGGAGAGCGUCGGGCGAUGUGUACGUCUGCGUCGCUGUUUGCCUCGGCCCUACGGCGUAGUGUCUCUGUCCACCAAAAAAAAAAAUAGCACACAAUUUUAUGUCCACUCAAACUCAAGUUGUUUUAAUUUUGGGCCAAAAGUGUAAAAAAAACUAUUAUCAAUAUAUAUGGCUUUACAUAAAUGUGUAAUAAGAAUAUGUCUCGUGGCAGAUGUAGUUAUUAUGAUAAAUAUUAGUAUUUUUUUCUAUAUAAAUUUAGUCUAGUCUUACUUGGUCUUGUUCUGUAAUUGUAUUCUUUGCUUGGGAUUGUA
Zea mays is the source of this 1002-nucleotide long non-coding RNA. RefSeq lists it as uncharacterized. Lineage: Eukaryota; Viridiplantae; Streptophyta; Magnoliopsida; Poales; Poaceae. The transcript has 2 exons. The record is from RefSeq and is a predicted model, not a curated record.